RNAcentral lists this ribosomal RNA (531 nucleotides) under uncultured Tylospora. RNAcentral's name for it is "eukaryotic LSU rRNA". The stretch from base 138 to 292 matches the Rfam family "5.8S ribosomal RNA". The record is from RNAcentral. Lineage: Eukaryota; Fungi; Basidiomycota; Agaricomycetes; Atheliales; Atheliaceae.
CCGAGCCCUUGAAUCCCAAACACCACAUGUGAACCCACCGUAGGCCUUCGGGCCUAUGUCUUAUCAUAUAAUCUGAAUGUCUAAUAGAAUGUAAACCCAUUUCGUUGCCUUGAAAACGUAACGAAAGAAAACUAUACAACUUUCAACAACGGAUCUCUUGGCUCUCGCAUCGAUGAAGAACGCAGCGAAAUGCGAUAAGUAAUGUGAAUUGCAGAUUUUCAGUGAAUCAUCGAAUCUUUGAACGCACCUUGCGCCCCUUGGUAUUCCGAGGGGCAUGCCUGUUUGAGUGUCAUUAAAUCCUCAACCCCUCCGAUUCGUUUCGGUGGGGAUUGGACUUGGAGCGUGCUGGCGAAGGUCGGCUCCUCUUUAAAUGCAUCAGCGGAGAAAAUGCCUUUUGCGCCUCUGGCCGUUCAGCGUGAUAAUGAUGUUGCGCUGCGGUCGAGCUUAAGGUCCGCUUCCAAAGGUCCUCGGACAAAUAUACAUAUGACUUUUGACCUCAAAUCACGUAGGACUACCCGCUGAACCUUAAGC